UACGUAGGGCGCAAGCGUUAUCCGGAAUUAUUGGGCGUCAAGAGCUCGUAGGCGGUUUGUCGCGUCUGCCGUGAAAGUCCGGGGCUCAACUCCGGAUCUGCGGUGGGUACGGGCAGACUAGAGUGAUGUAGGGGAGACUGGAAUUCCUGGUGUAGCGGUGAAAUGCGCAGAUAUCAGGAGGAACACCGAUGGCGAAGGCAGGUCUCUGGGCAUUAAUUGACGCUGAGGAGCGAAAGCAUGGGGAGCGAACAGG
Molecule: ribosomal RNA, 253 nt
Filed under: uncultured bacterium
Lineage: Bacteria
Description: partial 16S ribosomal RNA
Rfam family: Bacterial small subunit ribosomal RNA
Source: RNAcentral